Molecule: ribosomal RNA, 2294 nt
Filed under: Cellvibrionales bacterium
Lineage: Bacteria; Pseudomonadati; Pseudomonadota; Gammaproteobacteria; Cellvibrionales
Description: partial 23S ribosomal RNA
Rfam family: Bacterial large subunit ribosomal RNA
Source: RNAcentral
GGUCAAGUGACUAAGCGCAUACGGUGGAUGCCUUGGCAGUUGGAGGCGAUGAAAGACGUUAGAGCCUGCGAUAAGCUCUGGGAAGGUGGCAACUAACCUGUGAUCCAGAGAUCUCUGAAUGGGGAAACCCACUUAGCAUAAGCUAGGUAUCUCUUACCUGAAUCCAUAGGGUUUGAGAGGCGAACCCAGGGAACUGAAACAUCUAAGUACCUGGAGGAAAAGAAAUCAAUUGAGAUUCCCUAAGUAGCGGCGAGCGAACGGGGAGCAGCCGAGCUUCGUACGAUAGUGGAAUAGUCUGGGAAGGCUGACCAUAGUGGGUGAUAGUCCCGUACACGAAAUCAAUCGAAGACGUAUUAAGUAGGUCGGCACACGUGAUAUGUUGACUGAAGAUAGGGGGACCAUCCUCUAAGGCUAAAUACUACCAACUGACCGAUAGUGAACCAGUACCGUGAGGGAAAGGCGAAAAGAACCCCUGUGAGGGGAGUGAAAUAGAUCCUGAAACCGUAUGCGUACAAGCAGUGGGAGCCCCUCACCUAGAAUUUUCUGGGUGAGAAAGAAUUUCGAACCAUACAGAAAAUUGUAGGUGAGGGGUGACUGCGUACCUUUUGUAUAAUGGGUCAGCGACUUAUUUUCAGUAGCAAGCUUAACCGUAUAGGGUAGGCGUAGGGAAACCGAGUCUUAAUAGGGCGUUAAGUUGCUGGGAAUAGACCCGAAACCGGGCGAUCUAGCCAUGGGCAGGUUGAAGGUUGAGUAACAUCAACUGGAGGACCGAACCCACGUAUGUUGAAAAAUGCGGGGAUGACCUGUGGCUCGGAGUGAAAGGCUAAUCAAGCCCGGAGAUAGCUGGUUCUCCUCGAAAUCUAUUUAGGUAGAGCCUCGCAUAUUACCCUCGGGGGUAGAGCACUGUUUGGGCUAGGGGGCCAUCCCGGCUUACCAACCCCAUGCAAACUCCGAAUACCGAGGAGUACAAUUGCGGGAGACACACGGCGGGUGCUAACGUCCGUCGUGGAAAGGGAAACAACCCAGACCGCCAGCUAAGGUCCCAAAGUAGUGUUAAGUGGGAAACGAUGUGGGAAGGCUUAGACAGCUAGGAGGUUGGCUUAGAAGCAGCCACCCUUUAAAGAAAGCGUAAUAGCUCACUAGUCGAGUCGGCCCGCGCGGAAGAUGUAACGGGGCUAAACACUACACCGAAGCUGCGGAUGCGUGCUUUUGUUUACAAGAGCCACGCAUGGUAGAGGAGCGUUCUGUAAGUCUGUGAAGGUGAACUGAGAAGUUUGCUGGAGAUAUCAGAAGUGCGAAUGCUGACAUGAGUAACGAUAAGGGGUGUGAAAAACAUCCCCGCCGAAAGACCAAGGUUUCCUGCGCAACGCUAAUCGGCGCAGGGUUAGUCGGCCCCUAAGGCGAGGCAGAAAUGCGUAGUCGAUGGGAAACUGGUUAAUAUUCCAGUACUUCUAUUUAUUGCGAUGGGGGGACGGAGAAGGUUAGGCCAGCGCGGCGUUGGUUGUCCGCGUUUAAGGUAGUAGGCAGGUGUCUUAGGUAAAUCCGGGAUGCUAAUGCCGAGAACUGAUGACGAAGCCUCUCUUUGAGAGGUGAAGUGGUUGAUACCCUGCUUCCAAGAAAAGCCUCUAAGCUUCAGAUAAAUAGGAACCGUACUCCAAACCGACACAGGUGGUCGGGUAGAGAAUACCAAGGCGCUUGAGAGAACUCGGGUGAAGGAACUAGGCAAAAUGGUACCGUAACUUCGGGAGAAGGUACGCCGCUGACGGUGAACGCUUCGCGCGGUAAGCUGUUGGUGGUCGAAGUAACCAGGUGGCUGCAACUGUUUAUUAAAAACAUAGCACUCUGCAAACACGAAAGUGGACGUAUAGGGUGUGACGCCUGCCCGGUGCCGGAAGGUUAAUUGAUGGGGUUAGCCCUCACCUAGAUUAUUUUAUAAGAAACUAUGUUUUACGUUUAUUUGCUUUACAGUGAUUCGUUUGAUGAGUUUUAUUUAGGUUCUACAAGGGACUUAAAGAAACGAUUUAAACAACACCAAGAGGGGUUAAACAAAUCCAUAAGAAAAGCAAAAGACUGUAAAGUAGUUUAUUACGAAGCGUAUUUAACAGAGAAAUCUGCAACGCAACGUGAAGCGAAUUUGAAACGCAGUGGAAAGGCUUAUCACAGUCUAAAACAGCGUGUUAGAGAAAGCUUAUAAAAGAAAUAAAGAAAAGAUAAUCUAGGUGAGGGCGAAGCUCUUGAUCGAAGCCCCGGUAAACGGCGGCCGUAACUAUAACGGUCCUAAGGUAGCGAAAUUC